CCUACGGGUGGCAGCAGUGAGGAAUAUUGGGCAAUGGGCGUAAGCCUGAACCAGCCAAGUCGCGUGAGGGAUGAAGGUUCUAUGGAUCGUAAACCUCUUUUAUAAGGGAAUAAAGUGCGGGACGUGUCCCGGUUUGUAUGUACCUUAUGAAUAAGGAUCGGCUAACUACGUGCCAGCAGCCGCGGUAAUACGGAGGAUCCGAGCGUUAUCCGGAUUUAUUGGGUGUAAAGGGAGCGUAGGCGGCCUUUUAAGUCAGCGGUGAAAGUCUGUGGCUCAACCAUAGAAUUGCCGUUGAAACUGGGAGUCUUGAGUAUGUUUGAGGCAGGCGGAAUGCGUGGUGUAGCGGUGAAAUGCUUAGAUAUCACGCAGAACCCCGAUUGCGAAGGCAGCCUGCCAAGCCAUGACUGACGCUGAUGCACGAAAGCGUGGGGAUCAAACAGGAUUAGAUACCCCAGUAGUC
This 460-nucleotide ribosomal RNA is filed under the name uncultured bacterium. RNAcentral's name for it is "partial 16S ribosomal RNA". It matches the Rfam family "Bacterial small subunit ribosomal RNA", at positions 338 to 795 of the family's 1533-position model. The record is from RNAcentral.